CCUACGGGUGGCAGCAGUGAGGAAUAUUGGACAAUGGGCGAGAGCCUGAACGAGCGAAAUAGCGUGAAGGAUGACUGCCCUACGGGUUGUAAACUUCGUUUAUAAAGGAAUAAAGUGAGGCAAGUGAGCCUUUUUAGAUGUACUGUAUGAAUAAGGAUAGGCUAACUUCGGGCCAGCAGGCGCGGCAAUGCGGAGGAUACGAGCGUUAUCCGGAUUUAUUGGGUUUAAAGGGAGCGUAGAUGGGUUUUUAAGUCAGUUGUGAAAGUUUGCGGCUCAACCGUAAAAUUGCAAUGGAUACUGGCAGUCUUGAGUACAGUUGAGGUAGGCGGAAUUCGUGGUGUAGCGGUGAAAUGCUUAGAUAUCUCGAAGAACUCCGAUUGCGAAGGCAGCUUACUAAACUGCCACUGACAUUGAUGCUCGAAAGUGUGGGUAUCAAACAGGAUUAGAUACCCUAGUAGUC
This 460-nucleotide ribosomal RNA is filed under the name uncultured bacterium. RNAcentral describes it as "partial 16S ribosomal RNA". It matches the Rfam family "Bacterial small subunit ribosomal RNA", at positions 338 to 795 of the family's 1533-position model. The record is from RNAcentral.